This 225-nucleotide ribosomal RNA is filed under the name uncultured bacterium. Its description in RNAcentral is "partial 16S ribosomal RNA". It matches the Rfam family "Bacterial small subunit ribosomal RNA", at positions 116 to 334 of the family's 1533-position model. The record is from RNAcentral.
CGUGGGUAACCUACCUCAUAGUGGGGGAUAACAGUCGGAAACGACUGCUAAUACCGCAUAGGACAUGGGAUCACAUGAUUCCGUGAGGAAAGGUGGCGCAAGCUAUCGCUAAGAGAUGGACCCGCGGUGCAUUAGCUAGUUGGUAGGGUAACGGCCUACCAAGGCAAUGAUGCAUAGCCGACCUGAGAGGGUGAUCGGCCACAUUGGGACUGAGACACGGCCCAA